UACUAAAUAUCUUGAGGCUCAUGAAUAGGAACUUUAUAACUAAUUUGCUCAAACUCUUUACUAGAAAGAGCGUGUUUAGUUUUAGAAAUCUAGAGUUAAGUUGAUUACUAAUGUAGAUAUAAACACAAAAUAUAACCGCUCCAAGACUUUUGUGCAUAGAAGAAAGAAUAAAAUCAAGCCUCUUAGAUAUAAGAAUAAAGAAAC
This 204-nucleotide long non-coding RNA is filed under the name Lathyrus oleraceus (garden pea). RNAcentral describes it as "Pisum sativum (pea) long non-coding RNA (PSAT_LNC038018)". The record is from RNAcentral. Lineage: Eukaryota; Viridiplantae; Streptophyta; Magnoliopsida; Fabales; Fabaceae.